GAUGAAGAACGCAGCGAAACGCGAUAUGUAAUGUGAAUUGCAGAAUUCAGUGAAUCAUCGAAUCUUUGAACGCACAUGGCGCCUUCCAGUAUCCUGGGAGGCAUGCCUGUCCGAGCGUCGUUUCAACCCUCGAGCCCCCGUGGCCCGGCGUUGGGGAUCUGCCACGGCAGGCCCCUAAAACCAGUGGCGGACCCGAAGGCCCUCUCCUUUGCGCAGUAGCAUCAGCCUCGCAUUGGGAUCCCUCGGCGUCCUGCCUCUAAACCCCCCACAAGUCCGCUCCGGCGGCACCAAGGUUGACCUCGGAUCAGGUAGGAAUACCCGCUGAACUUAAGCAUAUCAAUAAGCGGAGGA
This 351-nucleotide unclassified non-coding RNA is filed under the name soil metagenome. Its description in RNAcentral is "partial contains 5.8S ribosomal RNA, internal transcribed spacer 2, and large subunit ribosomal RNA". The stretch from base 1 to 120 matches the Rfam family "5.8S ribosomal RNA", at positions 35 to 154 of the family's 154-position model. The record is from RNAcentral.